CAAAGAAAAGAGGUGAGUUUUAAGAAGAGUUUUAAAAUGAGACAGAGAGGAAGCCUGUCUAAUGUGCAGCGGCAGACCAUUCCAAAGCUUAGUACAUAUGAUUAUGUCAGAUUAUGAAUUAUGAAUAAAAUUCACUCUAGGUCCAAUCCGGACAGAUUUAUCAUGACAAAACAUGCAAACAGAUCUCUGGAUUAUAUCAUGUAAUCCAGAGAUUUAUUAUAAUCCAUAAUACAUUGUACCAUGUAGAAUCUUCAUAUAUGCGUGUUUGUUUGUCUUCAGAAAUGAUUACAGUGAUGAAGUAAGUCAGUCUGGGUACAGUAGCCUUUGCACACUGACCCAAAGUAUCACCUUUUAAUUAUUUCUGGCAAAAGGAAUUCCCCCCCGGUGACACAGCUACUGCUUUAUAACGAUAGAAACCAAAAACAAAAGCAUCCAUUUUCAUUUCCCACUUGAGGAACGAGUCUCACAUGUCAAACCAAAACAUCUCAUGGAAUAAAUGAAAUUAUUGUCCAGCUCCAGAGAUGUUAUUUUUCUGAAUCAGCUUUUAAUCUCCCCCUGGCUUUGGCCUGUUUGUGAUGGAGGGGGGGGGGGAUUCAAUUUUCCUCCUUUUAUUAUGUUUAGAGUUUCUGGCUCGCUGCCCGGCUGCCAACAGAAAGGUAAGUUAUCUUCACCUCAGCAGAAGUGAGGUGAAAACUAAUUCCCCGACAGCGACCGCAGCCUUCCUGGUGAUUUGUUUUACUUACUCACCACUAGUAAUCCCCAUAUAUCAUAACAGGUAGUAAAGUCGCCCAGUGAGAGACACCGACCAAAUAAAACAAUCAGGCACCGACUCUGUGACUCUAACAAGUUUGUAGCUGUUGUUUUUUUUGGCCUUUGCUCACGGGAGAUCCGGCGCUGGGAAGAAUCCAGCAGAGAAAUGUCCUUCACACGAGCUGACCGCAGCUUCUCUCCCUGCAGAGGUGUCCACAGUGGAAUGCCUCAUAAAUGUGUCUGUGAUUUACUGUUGUGUGUGCACGUGUGUGUGUGUGUGUGUGAGAUUGAUAUUUUUCUUUUAAUGAAGAAGGCAAGGGAAAUACAUUCUUUCAGACACAUGCACUCAGGCGUCUUAGAGUUGACGCUGUGCAGACAGUGGAAAGGGCUCUGGACACGGCACUGCAAGUUGUUUUUGAAGUGCACACCUUUUAGUCUUUUAGUGUACUUUUAGUCGUCAGAGAUUUUCCACUUGGUGUACAGUUGCUGGACAAUGAGAGCAUCGCACAGGUUUUUUGUCAUUUCCAUGGAAUCGCAGAUGAAAUGUUAGCCUCUUUCAAACGGUUCUGUUUUACUGCCCCUGCGCUGACGAGCCGCCAACACCAACACUUCUCAGGUUGUAAUAGUUUUACAGUUAUUAUAUUGUAUUUGGCAAGACAGGUUGACUCUUAACUUAACUGAAACCCCAAUCUAAUUUUCCAAGACCCUUUUAUAGUAUAUAUUCAUAUAUAUACUGUACGUGUAUACAAAGUGUGUCAUCGAUGUAAAGCUAACCCUUAAAGAGUGACUUGUUUUAUCUCUAAAUCUACUCUAUAUGCAUUUUCAUAAUAUUCCCUAUUAUUGGAUAAUAUUUGAACCCGAGCGAGGCUUUAAAAAAUGGACACAAUUAGAUGUUGAGAGUAUUGUAUUGCAGACGUGUACUGCACGUUUAUGAAUGCUUCUGCAGGUUGAUACGACACACACAGAGUACAGAGUGCAGCCCACUUCACCGAGCUGCUCGUCAUAUUUUAACCAGAUGUCGAGUCUCUCGUCUACAACAUACUUUUGAAUCUUCUUUUUUUUUUUCUAUUUUGAUUUGCUCGUUGCCUGCGCGGUAUGGAAAGUAUUUGUCCUUUCAAGUUCUCGCACUGGAUCGACAGGCCGAAUGCCGGUAGCAUCUGGACUUCAUACGAGGCCAUUUAAAAAAAAUAAAGAGCCCAGAAUAUAUGUGAAAUGAGCACUUAAAUGAAAGCUUAUUUUCAACAUUUAAUCAUCUUCCCUGACACAGUUUUGCACCUUUCUAUUACUUCAUGACAAAUUUACUGUGUGAAAAAAAACACAGGGAAUUACAGCCAGCGUGUUGCAUACAUGGAAAGACCUGCGAUGGAAUCACUCCAAACUGUCAGUGUCUUUAUUCUGGUAAUGGUGGUGAACUGCAGGAAAACCAUGCUUUCAGUGUAACCUGUUCUUUUUCUUCUCUUUUACAGUCUAUUUAAAGUCCAGGGAGAGCAGCAGCAGCACACUCCAUGCCAUUUAAAGUGACACUUUAAUCACGAGCGGUUAAUGGAGCACUAAUGCCAGACUUUGAUGUGGCUGUAAGUCAAGGUGCCCGCACAGAACAUGUGUUUGCCGUGGUAUGAUCCCUCCAAACAUACUGGGACUGUGUCAAGAAAUACUAUCAGACCUGACUGAGGGAGCGUUCCUGUCUGGACGGCACAAGAUUUAAACACCACUAUACUGAGAGUCAGAGAAACCUAAAGUUUGAGAAACCUGAAGUUGUGCAAUACAAUGAAAAAUAAUAAUAAGCUGCAUUUAACGCCUUUUUAACGUUUUUUUAUUUCUUAUCAUUAAGAUAAAAAAAGACGUGACUGAUCAGGCCACAGUGUGAUGCUUUCUACAGCAGCAGCUGAUUCAGCUGUUUAGCAUAAACUAUAUUCUGUCCCGUGACACAGCUGUGAGGAUCAUCAAGACAGUAUGGAGGCUAAAAAAUAGAUAGAGGCCUCACACUGACUCUUGAGGUACACACAGUGUGAGGACUAACUUUAACCAUCAAUUUACUGUAUCCUUAUAAGGAAGACAUGCAGUAGACGAUACAAUAAAUCUUAGUCAUUUUGAUAUUUCA
This is a long non-coding RNA of Solea senegalensis (Senegalese sole), 2851 nucleotides long. RefSeq lists it as uncharacterized. The record is from RefSeq and is a predicted model, not a curated record. The transcript has 2 exons. NCBI's taxonomy places the organism in Eukaryota, Metazoa, Chordata, Actinopteri, Pleuronectiformes, Soleidae.